UACGCGGGGGGCAAGCGUUGCUCGGAAUUAUUGGGCGUAAAGGGCGCGUAGGCGGUCUGCUAAGUCUGAUGUGAAAUCUCUGGGCUCAACCCAGAGUCUGCAUUAGAAACUGUCGGGCUUGAGUAUGGGAGAGGUGCGUGGAAUUUCCGGUGUAGCGGUGAAAUGCGUAGAUAUCGGAAGGAACACCGGUGGCGAAAGCGGCGCACUGGACCAAAACUGACGCUGAGGCGCGAAAGCUAGGGGAGCAAACAGG
RNAcentral lists this ribosomal RNA (253 nucleotides) under uncultured bacterium. RNAcentral describes it as "partial 16S ribosomal RNA". It matches the Rfam family "Bacterial small subunit ribosomal RNA", at positions 524 to 776 of the family's 1533-position model. The record is from RNAcentral.